RNAcentral lists this ribosomal RNA (253 nucleotides) under uncultured bacterium. RNAcentral describes it as "partial 16S ribosomal RNA". It matches the Rfam family "Bacterial small subunit ribosomal RNA", at positions 524 to 776 of the family's 1533-position model. The record is from RNAcentral.
UACAGAGGUGGCAAGCGUUGUUCGGAAUUACUGGGCGUAAAGGGCGCGUAGGCGGUUCGAUAAGUCCCAUGUGAAAUCCCUCGGCUCAACUGAGGAACUGCACGGGAAACUGACGGGCUUGAGUUCGGGAGAGGGAAGCGGAAUUCCGGGUGUAGCGGUGAAAUGCGUAGAUAUCCGGAGGAACACCGGUGGCGAAGGCGGCUUCCUGGACCGACACUGACGCUGAGGCGCGAAAGCUAGGGGAGCAAACGGG